UAGGGAAUCUUCCGCAAUGGACGCAAGUCUGACGGAGCAACGCCGCGUGAGUGAAGAAGGAUUUCGGUUCGUAAAACUCUGUUGUUAGAGAGGAACAGCGCAUAGAGUAACUGUUAUGCGUGUGACGGUAUCUAACCAGAAAGCCACGGCUAACUACGUGCCAGCAGCCGCGGUAAUACGUAGGUGGCAAGCGUUGUCCGGAUUUAUUGGGCGUAAAGCGAGCGCAGGCCGUCAAUUAAGUCUGAUGUGAAAGCCCCCGGCUCAACCGGGGAGGGUCAUUGGAAACUGGUUGACUUGAGUGCAGAAGAGGAGAGUGGAAUUCCAUGUGUAGCGGUGAAAUGCGUAGAUAUAUGGAGGAACACCAGUGGCGAAGGCGACUCUCUGGUCUGUAACUGACGCUGAGGCUCGAAAGCGUGGGUAGCAAACAGG
This 429-nucleotide ribosomal RNA is filed under the name Bacteroidota bacterium. Its description in RNAcentral is "Bacteroidetes bacterium partial 16S ribosomal RNA". It matches the Rfam family "Bacterial small subunit ribosomal RNA", at positions 355 to 776 of the family's 1533-position model. The record is from RNAcentral. Lineage: Bacteria; Pseudomonadati; Bacteroidota.